Molecule: long non-coding RNA, 5173 nt
Organism: Lynx canadensis (Canada lynx)
Lineage: Eukaryota; Metazoa; Chordata; Mammalia; Carnivora; Felidae
Exons: 7
Source: RefSeq, a predicted model, not a curated record
GCCCCUCCCCUGUUCAUGCUCUGUCUCUGUCUCAAGAAUAAAUAGACAUUAAAAAAAAAAAAAGACGCUCUGAGAAGCAGAAGCUGUGAGGUGGGGAACAGCUGCAAAGAGCAGAGGUAACCAGGAGCCACUCGGUGGUGAGAAAUGACAGGAAGGCACCGAAGGAAGCCAAAUCAUGUCAGUGGUGGCCCAUGAGCUGGAAGAGAUACAAACUCUGCCUUGAGGGCUGCUGCAGAUCCAGGACCGACCCCAGGGUGCCGCUCCUCCCCUGAUGCCAGGCUGCUUGGCUUUCCUGGGUUCUUGCAUCCAUGUAGCUGUCAAAAAAACCCCAUGAUGAGAGGAAGCACUGGUCAGUUUCAGUCUUCAUGCAAACAACAGAUACAUUAGCCUCACUAGCUAGCUUCCUAGCAAGCUGGAGAAUGAAGGUCAGUGGACGUCCACGCGUGCACAUACGAACACGCGUACACAUGCGUGCACACACGUGCAUGAAUAUACACACAUUUACAGACUUGGUCGCGAUCCGGAAGUGCUGUAAGUGUGGGGCGGGGGAGCCGUGAUGGGGCAUGGACAGGAUCAGCAAGGCAAGCAAGGCUCCCUGGCCGGAUAGUCCAGUUGGAAGAACAAAUGGGUCAUGGCCGGAGAAACUGCUAAUUUUAGUUUCCUUCAGGAUGUAGAUGUCAUUUAAAGUCAAACUAUUUCCUCAUACUUGUGCCCAGCAAAUGAUUUACUGGGGAAUGCUAACGCUGUUCUCUGUGUCCCAGCAGUGUGAUGGUGUCCCAGAGCAGGGGACAUGUGGCCAGAAGGGCGGCAGCUCAGUGGGCAGUGUUUCUCUCGGCUGUCCUGAGACCCUCCACUGUGGCGGACUGCUCUUCACUGUAGUUCUUCAAAUACCUUGGAUAUGUGUCGUCUCUACAUACCCUUUUGGCCCCCACCACCUGCGGUUCGUUGCCCAUGGGGGUUUGUGUUCGUGUUGGCAAGUUGAAAGCUUUCUUUGCUUCCCUGAACCUUGGGGCUGGGCUCAGGAGUCCCUGCUGGGGCACUCUGUGCUGUGGGACCUCUGGCAAACUGUGACCAUGUCUGAGCCUCGAUUUCUCCAUCUGUAAAAUGGGAACAAAGACAUCCGAGGAUUGGUAUUAUGUUCUCCUUGUAAGGAUUUUGCUUUAUAGUUUCUACUGGCUCUAUCACAGUCCCAACCCCAACACAAUUAGCAUACUGACGAGCAGAUAGGAGCAGCUCAAUCGAUAGUUGUUGAACGUGGUUCAUUGUUGUUGUCAUCUUCACAGAUUCCUUAUUAGUGUCCAUCUGGUGCUGCAUAGAGAGCUCUCCCACCCUGCGAUGCUGACAUAUGAAUAUGGAUGCACACAUGACCAUGGGAAGGCAUCAGAAAGUUAGGUAACUCGCCAGUAGAGAAUACACAUCAGUUACACCUAAAGGUUAAGUGCAUUCUGGAGGUCAGAAAAAGCGAUGAGUGAAUAAUUGAGGUAAGAAAGUAGCUUGCGGGAACCACUUUAAGACAGAUUGAUGCAGGGUGGGGCAGGGGAAACUGCUUAUGUGAUUAAUCUAAGACCUUCCAGAGGAAGUGGGCCUUCAGGAGCAGAUGGAUUGGAGAAAGGGACAGGCUUGGUGAAGAGGUGGCCAGGGAACAUUCCAGGCACAUGAGUGUUGUUUCCGCAGGCUGAGGUGCUGAGAUGCCCUUAGGGUGGUUCACUCCUUUGGACUCCUUGGAGUGGCUAGAGGUAUGUGUUUCUGUGUGUGUGUGUGCGUGCUCACGUGUGUGCCUGUGUGUGUGUGUGCGUGUGUGCAGCAGACAAGGAGGAGGGCAGUGAGACUGUGAGGUGGGAGAAGAAAGAUUGAUGAGUGAGGAAGAAAGUGUGAGACUGAUCAACUCCAGGUGUGAGAUAUUUCAGAGGAACCUCAUCAAGAGCUAUCUUUAUGUCUAAUAAAGAUGUCCCAGCUUCUGUGUUUGGAUUCAGAACCUGGACUUGGGGUGAGAUUAAAAUCAGAAGCAGGGAUAAGGCAGAGUAAAGAACCUGCGUGCAAAGAUCCAUACGAUGAUUUACAGAUCUUACUAGAAUUUGGCUGAGACCCAGCCAGUUGGCCUAGCACCUUUCCUUUUGAAGGUUUAUCAUUGAAAUUGAGCUUUUAUUUCCUUGCUGCUGUUGCAGAGCCUCAUCGUCAACCCCCCUUCAUUCCCAUUCAUUCUAGGCCUCAGAAGGGAGCAGUGUGAUCAGGCAGCCAUGUGACAUUGGUCUGCACUUCUGGAUGUGCACAUCCCCUGGAAGUUAGGAGGAGGACCGGCCUUCCCUCUGUCCAAGCCAAGAAUCCAGACAUGAUCUCAUCAGGGCCACUCCCUGGGGGGAAGCGGGAGGCAUAGGACUGUUUCAUCCCAUUUCCAGAUGGAGAAACCGAGGAAUGGGAGGAGUUUAAGGACCAGGCAAUGAGCUCGCUACAGAGCUGAGAAAAAAUUGGGCUCCUGCUCAGAGGGGCUGCCAUCCAGGACAGUGUGCACGUGCAUGUGUACGUGUGUGUGUGUGCGUGUGUGCGCGCGCGUGCUCCUCUCUGGUCCUCCUAAAUCUUCAAAAAGGACAUUGGAAGUGACAUAGUUUAAAAACAGACCCCAGUCCAUGAGAAAGAAUGUGUGGCAUUUGGAGAAUUACAUAAUCUUUAAAUUUAAUGUCCUGAUGUAUAAAAAGGGAAUAAUUGUAACACUUACCUCAUACCACCAUUGAGGUCACUAAUGGAUCUAAAUCUCAGGACCCAAUUUCUGACCCUAUCUGACCACAAUGCCCACUUGGUGGAUGUUCGUCUACCCGAGCUGAGCCCACUCUCGCUUACCCUGUUCAGGACGGAGUCAUGUCCUGGUUGGCCUAGACACCAGCUAAUCCAAUGUGGGUCUGUAUUCUGUUAGAUUUAUUUUCCUAAUUGUUUUAUCCAAGUGUGUAUGGGGGGAUGGAACUAGCUUUGAGUGACUACUAGGCGGGGCAAUUUUCUAGGUGCUCGAUAUAAAUGAUCUCAUUGAAUUCUGGUGGUCCUGUGAGGGGUGGUAUCAAGCCAAGGGUUUGCAUCCUCUUGGAAAUAUUUUACCUGGGUAUUCCUGGAUGCUGAAUGGUAGAAGGAGGCAAGACUGAUGUUUUCAGAAUGCAAAUCGAAAUGAUCAGGAAGCCAAGUGUGAGACCACACUCCCUCUCUCAGCUUCAGGUACUCUUCAACAAGACCUGUGGUCCUGGUGGUCAUUGGUGGAGACUGAUUGCACGCCUCUUGAAGCUGUCUCUCCCAUGGCUUCAGUCCUUUCUGGUUCUCCUUCAACUUCAGUCCUUCCUCUUGGUCUCCUGGUGGUGGGGCGGGGCAGCUUUUCUUCUGCGUGCUUCUUACAAGUUAGCUUCCCUAAGGAUUUGCCCUCAGCUCUUUCCUCUCUUCGGGUUGACUGUGCACCUGCAGACAUACCCCUUCCAGUGCCAACCCCCAAAUCAGUUCCCGGAGCUCCAGACUAAACCAGGCAAUUGACAGCUACCUUCCAGAAUUUCCAGACACAUCCAAUUCUAGGUGUUCAGAACUGAGCUCACCUUCUUUCUUCCCGAUCGGCUCCUCUUCGUUUCGGGUCUGACAGAUGACGUCACGGUCAUGCUAACCUGCUUCCUUUACCCUCCGCACCCCGUCUAACCAAGUCCUGUAAAUUCCCUUCCUUCCCAUCUCCUCUUCCGUGCCAUUUUCAUCCUCAGUUAUGCCCUGGUUUUUUUGUUUUCGUUUUUUUGCUCAACGUUCAACGUCUGCCCCCUUUACCAGAGAAAUCCUUUCAAAUCUGUAAAAUUGACUGAUGUCGCUCUGGCUUCUAUCACCUUUGGGAUGAAGGCCAAGCCCUCCAUUAUCUGACCCAGUUUGCCCCCUCCAGCUUCUUCUCUGGCCGUGGCCCCCACCUUCUGUUUCUCCCGGGGGGGGGGGGGGAGGGACUGGAACAUCUCCAGUCCGUGCUAUCCUGUCUGGAAGGCCUGUUUCCCACUCACUUAUCUGGCAAACGUCACAGCCCGAGGGUCGCUUCUCUGGCGAAGCCCUUCCUGUGCCCCCACUUCUGCGUCUGCGUGGCCAUGGCCUCGACACACACUCAGCUACCACGACUUGUCCAGCUUCCCCAACCAGCCCGAAGCCCUCUCGAGGGAGCGAUUACGUCCCGCUCGCCUGUCUACCGUGGUGUUCAGCGCGUAGCGGAGGUGCAAGCAGUGUUUGCGGAAUGAAUGAUGAGAGGAGGUGACGGAGGUCAGAUCCACGCCUCGGCACGCAGACCUGAGGGGUGGCGAGCGCUACUUCCCCCCGCUAGAGGGCACUCUCGCCGUGCGCUUCGCUGGGAGCCGGGCGGGUGUGGCUCCGCCUCCGACGGCCUCGCCGGCCCCGCUUGGCUCUGCAGUGUGGCCUCAGCGCGUCUUGGAGUCUACAUCUGGGAACCAAAAGCAUGAGAGAGAGAGACAGAAAGAGACAGAGACACAGACAGAGACAGACAGAUGAUGGAUGCUUCCAGAGAUCCUCUCAACUUGGCUGGGAGCUUCUUUGUCCAUGCUGUAAGACGGGCAUCUUGAGGAACACGCAAGGAAAGGAGAAUGAAGGCAUCUCACACGCAAGAUGGUCCAGAUGCCCCCUGGAAGAGGCAUCUUCGUCUUCAACAGAUUGAGGACAGUUGGCUGCCAUUCACUGCUUGCGAAGGAAAUAGAUUUGGAACCGGAUCAAUCCCAUCCUCGACUCUGCCAUCCUUCUGUCAGAAUUAUAAACAGAAGAUGAUUACAGCACAUCCUGCAUGUGCCUUCCAUGUGGCUCCAGUCUCGGCCUCACAAACGCAGCGAGGCCAGUUGCUCCAUAUGUAGAUGAGAUUUGGUGUGUCUGUGGGAGGAGAAGCAGCUGAUUUCGGAUUCAAGCGAGAGCUCUGCAUAGUGUUGAUUUUGCCUUCACCAAAGCUGUCAACAAAAGGGCCUGUGAGGCAAGGGCAGACUCCUUCUGAAGACAAAUCUGGAGGAUGAGAUACUAUGUGAAGAGAACCCUCAGCCAUUCCAGCCAUCCCAUCUGACACCAUAGACAUAUGAGUGAGAUUCUAGACAGUGGCUGUUGAGCCACUAGUGAAAUGUGGCUAGUAUGAAUUGAAAUGUAUUGUUGUUUUUUUAAGUUUUUAUUUAUUUAUUUUGAGAGAGAG